RNAcentral lists this long non-coding RNA (831 nucleotides) under Ananas comosus (pineapple). Its description in RNAcentral is "long non-coding RNA (ACOM_LNC023984)". Lineage: Eukaryota; Viridiplantae; Streptophyta; Magnoliopsida; Poales; Bromeliaceae. The record is from RNAcentral.
ACAAUUUAUUUAAGAGUAAUGCUUCUAUAUUUUUUUUUUUUCAUUAUCAAUCAUUCACGCGUAUUCAACGGCUCAGAUUUAAUUUUUUUUAAAUUGCGACCUGCAAUAGUAGAUCAUUUUGGAAGAGGUAUCGAUUACCAGGUACCAAAAAAAAAAAGAUAUUUUUGUCUUUUACUGUAUGGAUAAUUUAGUCAUUUUACCUCUACUAUAUUUUCAAAAUUUUUAUUUCCUCUUUGUUUUCUUUUUCUCUCUCUAUCUUUCCUUUCAUAAUUUGGGAUUUCAUAUAAAAAAAUUUUCAAAUUAUUUGACAAUAUGAUCUUUUAAUUUUUUUUUCUCUUUGUUUAUUUGUUUAAUUUUUCAAAUAGUUUAAUUUUAAGAAACUAUGCAUUAAAAUUUCAUUUCAUACCUAUUGCUUUCUAAAUCUUUUUUUAAUAAAAUAAGAAUGAAAUUUAGAUUAUUUUGUGAUUUAAUUUGUUAAUUAAUUUUUUUCUAAUUCGGUAAUAUUAUAUUCAAAUUUAUAUUUUAAAAUUUUAAGUUUCAUAUAAAUACUUUGAAAUAUGAUAAACAGAAAUAAUUGUUUUGGAUUUCGGUCUUUUGGUUUAGGUUUGGUUUUGGGUUUCAAAAAAUUGAUCAGUUUUGAAUUUGGAUAUAAAAUUUUGAAAUCCGUCAAGUUCGGAAAUAAGUUUUGCGAUGGUUAGUCGGAUUCGAAUUCAAAUUUCUAACCUUUUUUUUUUCUCACCAGUAAUCCUAAUCUUUUUAAUUUUUAUGUUUAAAAUUAUAUGUAAAAUAUUUAUUAGCUCUAAAUUAGAAAAAUUCUUAAUUUUUUUUAAA